RNAcentral lists this non-coding RNA (100 nucleotides) under Nocardioides sp. Its description in RNAcentral is "Glycine sequence". It matches the Rfam family "Glycine riboswitch aptamer". Rfam says of the family: This family represents the bacterial glycine riboswitch. Glycine riboswitches usually consist of two metabolite-binding aptamers domains with similar structures in tandem. The record is from RNAcentral. RNAcentral also lists the same sequence under 1 other name. Lineage: Bacteria; Bacillati; Actinomycetota; Actinomycetes; Propionibacteriales; Nocardioidaceae.
CACUCCUGCACGGGAGAGUCCCCGGCGCACGACGUGGCCGGGGCGCCGAAGGGGCAAUUCCUCCCCGGAACCUCUCAGGCCACCGGACCGUGCGGGUCAG